AUGGGUGUAAUUCAGUAGGUAGAAUGCUGGCUUUGGGAGCCAGUUGUCCUUGGUUCGAGUCCAAGUACCCAUAC
This 74-nucleotide transfer RNA is filed under the name uncultured phage cr44_1. Its description in RNAcentral is "tRNA-Pro". It matches the Rfam family "tRNA". Rfam says of the family: Transfer RNA (tRNA) molecules are approximately 80 nucleotides in length. Their secondary structure includes four short double-helical elements and three loops (D, anti-codon, and T loops). Further hydrogen bonds mediate the characteristic L-shaped molecular structure. tRNAs have two regions of fundamental functional importance: the anti-codon, which is responsible for specific mRNA codon recognition, and the 3' end, to which the tRNAs corresponding amino acid is attached (by aminoacyl-tRNA synthetases). tRNAs cope with the degeneracy of the genetic code in two manners: having more than one tRNA (with a specific anti-codon) for a particular amino acid; and 'wobble' base-pairing, i.e. permitting non-standard base-pairing at the 3rd anti-codon position. The record is from RNAcentral. Lineage: Duplodnaviria; Heunggongvirae; Uroviricota; Caudoviricetes; Crassvirales; Steigviridae.